This 968-nucleotide long non-coding RNA is filed under the name Equus caballus (horse). RNAcentral's name for it is "lncRNA (ENSECAG00000057423.1)". Lineage: Eukaryota; Metazoa; Chordata; Mammalia; Perissodactyla; Equidae. The record is from RNAcentral.
AUUUUAACCAUAGCUGAUUAUAAUAGGCAGCCAAAGUUUAAAACCACCGAGUUACUUCUUAGCACAAUUGUUUGGCCUGCAAUUUUAUUAGGAACUCAGGUUUUUGGUUUAUUAUGAUUUCAAGCAUCAGGACUAAGGUAUAAUUACCAGGGUAUUAAGGCAUUGUAGAUACAUAGCUUUACCACACAAAUGCCAGAAUACUGGAAAGGAUAAUCACAUCUCUCAGUUUGAAAAGUCCUGUUUUCAAGCUGCUAUUACAUCCAUCUUCAGAAUUUAUUGCCUAGGGUUUGCAGAUGGUGGAGUGCUACUUAGAAGAGACACCCUGUUGGGAAAACCACAUUGCGGUGCAAUUAAUAACCAGGGAGUUUCCUUUCCACAUCCUCUUAAUUCAUGGCUUGCCAAGCGGUGCCACGUCUGCACCCGGGAUCUGAACCAGUGAACCCCAGGCAGCCGGAAGCGGAACGUGCACACUUAAUUGCUGCUCCACCAGGCCGGCCCCCUAUUUAAAGUGUAAAUCUUGAUGAUUUGAUAUAUAUACACAUUGUAGAACGAUAACCAAGAUCAAGAUAAUUAGCACAUUACCUCACAUAGUUAACUCUUUUUUGUUGUGAGAAUGCUUAAGAUCUACUCUCAGUAACUUUCACACUCUUCACACGUCCUUUCCUCUCUCCAUUGCAGCCACAAAGGACUUCACUCUCACCAGCUUCAUGGCCUUCUCACACAGAAGAGCAACAGCUGAUGUAGUGUAUAUUCCACAUCUAACACAUUGUCACCUGAUAACAUUGUUUAAUUAAUAAACUGAUGAAUGGAUAAAUAAAUAAACACAACAUCCCCAUUAUAAAUAGAACACGUAUUCUAAGUAUAUGGAAGAGGCUAUCAAAUAAUUCUUUUGGACAGUGUUAGAAAAUCAAUUUAUUGUGAUAGGGCUCUGCUGAAUAAUACUGAUAAUCUGAUUUAAUAUUCAUCAC